This 278-nucleotide ribosomal RNA is filed under the name Paraliobacillus ryukyuensis. Lineage: Bacteria; Bacillati; Bacillota; Bacilli; Caryophanales; Bacillaceae. The record is from RNAcentral.
GUGACACGUGCAGCUGACGAAUACUAAUCGAUCGAGGACUUAACUAAAUAACAAAAGUGGAAACGACCACAACAGUGGGAGUUGAAACUGGAUGAUAUUCUAACGUUUGAUACCCUUGUCUUUCUUAUCUAGUUUUGAAGGUACAUGCCUUUAAAACAAAGGUUUAGUGACAAUAGCGAAGAGGUCACACCUGUUCCCAUGCCGAACACAGCAGUUAAGCUCUUCAGCGCCAAUGGUAGUUGGGGCUUUGCCCCUGCAAGAGUAGGACGUCGCUAAGC